RNAcentral lists this long non-coding RNA (250 nucleotides) under Homo sapiens (human). RNAcentral's name for it is "non-protein coding lnc-COMMD6-6:1". Lineage: Eukaryota; Metazoa; Chordata; Mammalia; Primates; Hominidae. The record is from RNAcentral.
GCCUGUUUAGCGCAGCACUAUCCAUAACAGCCAAGAUUUCAAAGCAACCUAAGUGUCCAUCAAUAGAUGAAAGGAUAAAGAAAACAUGGUACUAUACAGAAAGGAGUGUUAUUCAGCCAUAAAAAGAAUGAGAUCCUGUCAUUUGCAACAACAUGGAUAGAACUGGCAGUCAUUCUGUCAAGUGAAAUAAGCCAGACACAAAGACAAAAUUCUAUGUUCCCACUUAUUUGUGGGAGCUAAAAAAUUAAUU